GAUGAACGCUGGCGGCGUGCCUAAUACAUGCAAGUCGAGCGAACAGACGAGGAGCUUGCUCCUCUGACGUUAGCGGCGGACGGGUGAGUAACACGUGGAUAACCUACCUAUAAGACUGGGAUAACUUCGGGAAACCGGAGCUAAUACCGGAUAAUAUAUUGAACCGCAUGGUUCAAUAGUGAAAGACGGUUUUGCUGUCACUUAUAGAUGGAUCCGCGCCGCAUUAGCUAGUUGGUAAGGUAACGGCUUACCAAGGCAACGAUGCGUAGCCGACCUGAGAGGGUGAUCGGCCACACUGGAACUGAGACACGGUCCAGACUCCUGCGGGAGGCAGCAGUAGGGAAUCUUCCGCAAUGGGCGAAAGCUUGACGGAGCAACGCCGCGUGAGUGAUGAAGGUCUUCGGAUCGUAAAACCCUGUUAUUAGGGAAGAACAAAUGUGUAAGUAACUAUGCACAUCUUGACGGUACCUAAUCAGAAAGCCACGGCUAACUACGUG
Molecule: ribosomal RNA, 497 nt
Filed under: uncultured bacterium
Lineage: Bacteria
Description: partial 16S ribosomal RNA
Rfam family: Bacterial small subunit ribosomal RNA
Source: RNAcentral